CACCUAAAAUAAAUUCAUUCCAGAAUGUGCUGAAAGAUUGGACCAGAAUAUACAUAUGCAUAAAUAUAUGUACGUUAUGAUUCACUACUUGAAUCACAUUUUCAGAGUCAGAACCAGUCAGAACAGCCUGGAACAGUCAUAGCCGGUUGUAGUCGGUGUCCUGAAGGUUACAGGAAAGUUGAGGAAAGUACUGCAGUGACUUGGGAGUUAAAAGAUAUUUCAGAUUAUUGUCUGUUUUUUUUAUUUUAGACUUUUAUACUAACUGAAAAAAAAUUAUAAACUAAAGACAAGGUGAAUCACAAGUUUGUUAAUAAGAGAGGUUAAAAGAUUUUUUAAGACAAUGGGAGAUAAUACAUUGCCCGAUGACGAUACCAUUACAUUGGUCCUUUGUGAUAAUCGUAUUUUGGCAUCCAAAAAAAAACUGGCUCGUAAGAGUCGCUAUUUUCAAUGUUUAUUCUCUAAGAAGUUCUGUGAUUCUACUCAAAAGGAAUUUGACAUUAAUUAUGAUUUCCAGCCGGGAACAUUACAGGAUUUUGUUGAUUGGACAAGUAGCAAUGAAACAACGCAAUUCGAUGAUGGUCACACUAUUAACAAAAGUUUAUUAAAAUAUGUCCAUGGAUCAUUUACACCUCUUUUGACUUUAUUAGAACUUGGUUUUACCUUUAUGGUGGACAGUUUCAUCAGCGAUGUAAUGGACGUAUUAAUCCACCAUUGGUUGGAGCCUGAAAUAGUAAUCGAUCUCUGGUUAUUAACUCAGGAAAUGAAUUACACAAAACUGAAAGAUGUUGCAUUUGCCGCUUGCCUAGACAGAUUUAUGGAAAUUCCAAUGAAUGCUCUGUUAAAGUUACCAAAAGAAAAAUUUCUACAGCUGAUUAGAAAUGUUAAUAUUAGAUCUACAGCCAAUCAUUUACACUCUGUGACAAAAGCAUGGAUUGAAAAGAACAAUGACGGAGAGAAUUUGACGAGUGAAAUUUCGAAUCGAACAGAACGUUUGAAAAAGGCGAAGGAACCUGUCAUAAGAUACAAGGACACUUCAGGGCAACUUUAUAAAGAAGGCCGUUAUGGCUAUGUAUCUGCUGGAAAUUGCGAGUGGAGUUCAUACGAUCCAUUUAGAAAUGAAGAAAUGGCAUUUGCAUGUUCAUUAUUUUUGGAACCUGUAGUAGUGGAUGUAUGCCUAGAAUCAACAGACAUAGACAUAUUGUCUUUGGAAAUUACUUCUGAAAAUUUGAAGAACAAGGAGAGAUGGAAUCUUUAUUACUGGGAUUAUAAGAAAUCGUGUACUGUUACAUAUGAGUUGAACAAUAUAACAGUUCCAUUUGAGAAAAUCAAGGGAAUGGAAGUUGUAGGACGAGGAUUUAGUAUAUAUUUUGUUGGCGGAGUAUACGAUUCCAGCCGUUCGGAUUUGGAAAAAUUUAAUAUGGAUAUCUGGCGAUAUUGUACAUUGUCCGAGAAGUUAUACUAUGUGGCAAGACUGCCUCGUCCCCGUAAAGAUAUGCUAGCCUUUUUCAUGGCAAACAAAUUAAUGUUAUUGGGUGGUUUGGGAGAGAAGAAAACAGUACUUACGACUAUAGACGUUCUAAAUAUACAUACAGGAGAAUGGACACAAGCUGCGGAUAUUCCAAACCCACCACUUCCUUUUGAAAAAGUUGGAGGUCCUCCUGGGAUUCAGAGCUAUGUUUAUACGUAUCACCAAUGUGAUAAUAAAUGGUCAUCAUCUGAAGGUAUUCCCUCUAUGUACCUGAUAAUGAGCUUUAUACCAAAUGAAUUUUAUGUGGGUGCCAAUGAGUACGAAUGGCCUUCAACUGCUCGUCUUCUAAUGACCAGAGAACGUUUCGGGAAUUAUGGGACUAGUACAGUGCAUCCUACUGCGAGCAUACCAUAUUGGCAGGAUACUUACUACUUAAAUCUUACAAAAAGUGCAAUUUAUGAUGUACUUCUAAAUGAAGAAGGUGUCCCAGAAAAAUGCGUUACAGAAGAAUUUGGGAAGAAGGAGCUGAAAUAUCCUACACGGAACGUAAAAAUUCUUAACCCUGCCUCUUUGUAUCGUCAAGUUACACAUUAAUUGAAAAUUCUGCAUCGCCUGCGUGGAACGUAUCCGGCGUUUCUAUCGAAACUAAUGGUGCCGAACCAUUGUUUCUGCAAUUACAUAGGCAAGUUUGGAAUAACCUUGCAACUUGCAAAAUCUUACUAUAAGUGUAGUUACAGCUACCAGAUAAAUCUUCUAUUUUACAGUGCUUCAUAUAAUUCAUAUUCCACCUCAUAUGGUUAAUAUUACCAUUCCAAAUGUUGAUCACUUCUGCACCAUUUAAGCGCAGCACCAUGGAUACAGUACCUAUCGACAAGAUGAUCGGUUUUAAGUGGGUUCUCAAACAAGGAAGGUAGAAUAGAAGUACGUCCAGGAGUACCGCGAAGAGUCCAACGUCACUUGGGGACCAAUUGCGAGUAAACGACGACUUU
This 2457-nucleotide unclassified non-coding RNA is filed under the name Orussus abietinus. RNAcentral's name for it is "uncharacterized LOC105704474, transcript variant X3". Lineage: Eukaryota; Metazoa; Arthropoda; Insecta; Hymenoptera; Orussidae. The record is from RNAcentral.